This 497-nucleotide ribosomal RNA is filed under the name uncultured bacterium. RNAcentral describes it as "partial 16S ribosomal RNA". It matches the Rfam family "Bacterial small subunit ribosomal RNA", at positions 28 to 507 of the family's 1533-position model. The record is from RNAcentral.
GAUGAACGCUGGCGGCGUGCCUAAUACAUGCAAGUCGAGCGAACUGACGAGAAGCUUGCUUUUCUGAUGUUAGCGGCGGACGGGUGAGUAACACGUGGAUAACCUACCUAUAAGACUGGGAUAACUUCGGGAAACCGGAGCUAAUACCUGAUAAUAUUUUGAACCGCAUGGUUCAAAAGUGAAAGACGGUCUUGCUGUCACUUAUAGAUGGAUCCGCGCUGCAUUAGCUAGUUGGUAAGGUAACGGCUUACCAUGGCAACGAUGCAUAGCCGACCUGAGAGGGUGGUCGGCCACACUGGAACUGAGACACGGUCCAGACUCCUACGGGAGGCAGCAGUAGGGAAUCUUCCGCAAUGGGCGAAAGCCUGACGGAGCAACGCCGCGUGAGUGAUGAAGGUCUUCGGAUCGUAAAACUCUGUUAUUAGGGAAGAACAUAUGUGUAAGUAACUGUGCACAUCUUGACGGUACCUAAUCAGAAAGCCACGGCUAACUACGUG